This 118-nucleotide ribosomal RNA is filed under the name uncultured bacterium. RNAcentral describes it as "partial 16S ribosomal RNA". It matches the Rfam family "Bacterial small subunit ribosomal RNA", at positions 1388 to 1501 of the family's 1533-position model. The record is from RNAcentral.
CACCGCCCGUCACAUCACGAAAGUGGGCCGUACUAGAAGCCGGUGUGCUAACCGCAAGGAGGGCAGCCCGUCCAAGGGUACAGCUCAUGAUUGGGGGUGAAGUCGUAACAAGGUACCC